RNAcentral lists this ribosomal RNA (447 nucleotides) under uncultured soil bacterium. Its description in RNAcentral is "bacterial SSU rRNA". It matches the Rfam family "Bacterial small subunit ribosomal RNA", at positions 26 to 518 of the family's 1533-position model. The record is from RNAcentral.
AGAACGAACGCUGGCGGCAUGCCUAAUACAUGCAAGUCGAACGAACUCUUCGGAGUUAGUGGCGCACGGGUGCGUAACGCGUGGGAAUCUGCCCCUUGGUUCGGAAUAACAGUUGGAAACGACUGCUAAUACCGGAUGAUGACGAAAGUCCAAAGAUUUAUCGCCAAGGGAUGAGCCCGCGUAGGAUUAGCUAGUUGGUGAGGUAAAGGCUCACCAAGGCAACGAUCCUUAGCUGGUCUGAGAGGAUGAUCAGCCACACUGGGACUGAGACACGGCCCAGACUCCUACGGGAGCAGCAGUAGGGAAUAUUGGACAAGUGGGACGAAAGCCUGAUCCAGCAAUGCCGCGUGAGUGAUGAAGGCUUAGGUGUAAAGCUCUUUACCGAGAUGAUAAUGACUAGUAUCGGAAGAACGUAACGCCCGGACUAACUCCGAGCCAGCACGCCGC